This 269-nucleotide unclassified non-coding RNA is filed under the name uncultured fungus. RNAcentral describes it as "partial contains 5.8S ribosomal RNA, internal transcribed spacer 2, and large subunit ribosomal RNA". The record is from RNAcentral. Lineage: Eukaryota; Fungi.
AACGCAACUUGCACCUCUUGGGCAACCAAGAGGUAUGUCUGUUUGAGUACCUGAUCCCCAUCUUGCCUCUAGUUAGAGGCAGACUUGAGGUCCUAGCUCUCCUUGGGGAGGUAGACCUUUAAAUGGAGCAAGCUAAGGUAUUAAAGACCUUGGCUAUGUGCUAGAGACCAGCUCGGUCUUGUCAUAACCAAGAGCUUUAUAACCGAGAGCUUUUAGCUCAAUUAUAUAAAAAAGGUCUCAAAUCAGGCAAGACUACCCGCUGAACUUAA